UGGGCAAUCUGCCCUAAAGACUGGGAUACCACUUGGAAACAGGUGCUAAUACCGGAUAACAACAUGAAUCNCAUGAUUCAAGUUUGAAAGGCGGCGCAAGCUGUCACUUUAGGGUGAGCCCGCGGCGCAUUAGCUAGUUGGUGGGGUAAAGGCCUACCAAGGCAAUGAUGCGUAGCCGAGUUGAGAGACUGAUCGGCCACAUUGGGACUGAGACACGGCCCAAACUCCUACGGGAGGCAGCAGGCC
RNAcentral lists this ribosomal RNA (246 nucleotides) under uncultured Lactobacillus sp. RNAcentral describes it as "partial 16S ribosomal RNA". It matches the Rfam family "Bacterial small subunit ribosomal RNA", at positions 118 to 354 of the family's 1533-position model. The record is from RNAcentral. Lineage: Bacteria; Bacillati; Bacillota; Bacilli; Lactobacillales; Lactobacillaceae.